Molecule: long non-coding RNA, 562 nt
Filed under: Homo sapiens (human)
Lineage: Eukaryota; Metazoa; Chordata; Mammalia; Primates; Hominidae
Description: HSALNT0217467
Source: RNAcentral
CAAUGGCACAUUUCCCCUUCAGUCCUGGCACUGUAAUGUUACAUCUUGGUUUUUGGUUUUGUGUACAAAUGUGUUUAACACUGUGUAUUAAACACAAGGAAACACUCUUUUGUUGGUCACAUAGCCAUCAUGUACAACCAAAUUUAUACUUUUGUAUUUUUCCAAAACAAACAUCCCUGGGUGUUUCGUGCACACACACAGACAACUCACUAGACAAGGUUUACCUCCUCCAGACCACGCCUAUCCAAGACAGUGCCUAAGUAGAUGCAGGAGAGUUGAGUCUGUCUCUGUGGUGUCUUCAUGGGAAACACCAACAUUUUCUUGCUCUACUCUGGUGUUGGUUGGGGAAUUCGGUUAUUUCUGGGAAAGAUUGAGUGUGUCAAAGAAUCAUUCUGUUUGCUGUCUGAAAACAAAUGACACAGUAUUUGUUUUGAACAAAUGAAACAGUGUUUGUUUUGGUGUGCAAAGGCCUUUGACCCUUUCUGUGUCAACGUACUUUUUAAUCAUCACAUAAACAUCAUGUAUGACCAAAUUUAAAUUUUUGUAGUGUGUAUUAAUGCCU